RNAcentral lists this non-coding RNA (29 nucleotides) under Cricetulus griseus (Chinese hamster). The record is from RNAcentral. Lineage: Eukaryota; Metazoa; Chordata; Mammalia; Rodentia; Cricetidae.
ACCUUUGACAAAAGAACCAAGACAAAUGU